UGGGGAAUUUUGGACAAUGGGGGAAACCCUGAUCCAGCCAUCCCGCGUGUGCGAUGAAGGCCUUCGGGUUGUAAAGCACUUUUGGCAGGAAAGAAACGUCGCGGGUUAAUACCCCGCGAAACUGACGGUACCUGCAGAAUAAGCACCGGCUAACUACGUGCCAGCAGCCGCGGUAAUACGUAGGGUGCAAGCGUUAAUCGGAAUUACUGGGCGUAAAGCGUGCGCAGGCGGUUCGGAAAGAAAGAUGUGAAAUCCCAGAGCUUAACUUUGGAACUGCAUUUUUAACUACCGGGCUAGAGUGUGUCAGAGGGAGGUGGAAUUCCGCGUGUAGCAGUGAAAUGCGUAGAUAUGCGGAGGAACACCGAUGGCGAAGGCAGCCUCCUGGGAUAACACUGACGCUCAUGCACGAAAGCGUGGGGAGCAAACAGGAUUAGAUACCCUGGUAGUCCACGCCCUAAACGAGUCAACUAGCUGUUGGGGCCUUCGGGCCUUGGUAGCGCAGCUAACGCGU
Molecule: ribosomal RNA, 511 nt
Filed under: uncultured bacterium
Lineage: Bacteria
Description: partial 16S ribosomal RNA
Rfam family: Bacterial small subunit ribosomal RNA
Source: RNAcentral